RNAcentral lists this ribosomal RNA (738 nucleotides) under Microbacterium lacus. RNAcentral describes it as "bacterial SSU rRNA". It matches the Rfam family "Bacterial small subunit ribosomal RNA", at positions 731 to 1458 of the family's 1533-position model. Lineage: Bacteria; Bacillati; Actinomycetota; Actinomycetes; Micrococcales; Microbacteriaceae. The record is from RNAcentral.
GGCCCGUAACUGACGGUUGAGGAAGCGAAAGGGGUGGGGAGCAAACAGGCUUUAGAUAACCCUGGUAGUCCACCCCGUAAAACGUUGGGAACUAGUUGUGGGGUCCAUUCCACGGAUUCCGUGACGCAGCUAACGCAUUUAAGUUCCCCGCCUGGGGAGUACGGCCGCAAGGCUAAAACUCAAAGGAAUUGACGGGGACCCGCACAAGCGGCGGAGCAUGCGGAUUAAUUCGAUGCAACGCGAAGAACCUUACCAAGGCUUGACAUAUACGAGAACGGGCCAGAAAUGGUCAACUCUUCGGACACUCGUAAACAGGUGGUGCAUGGUAGUCGUCAGCUCGUGUCGUGAGAUGUUGGGUUAAGUCCCGCAACGAGCGCAACCCUCGUUCUAUGUUGCCAGCACGUAAUGGUGGGAACUCAUGGGAUACUGCCGGGGUCAACUCGGAGGAAGGUGGGGAUGACGUCAAAUCAUCAUGCCCCUUAUGUCUUGGGCUUCACGCAUGCUACAAUGGCCGGUACAAAGGGCUGCAAUACCGUAAGGUGGAGCGAAUCCCAAAAAGCCGGUCCCAGUUCGGAUUGAGGUCUGCAACUCGACCUCAUGAAGUCGGAGUCGCUAGUAAUCGCAGAUCAGCAACGCUGCGGUGAAUACGUUCCCGGGUCUUGUACACACCGCCCGUCAAGUCAUGAAAGUCGGUAACACCUGAAGCCGGUGGCCCAACCCUUGUGGAGGGAGCCGUCG